Molecule: ribosomal RNA, 406 nt
Filed under: uncultured bacterium
Lineage: Bacteria
Description: partial 16S ribosomal RNA
Rfam family: Bacterial small subunit ribosomal RNA
Source: RNAcentral
AUUGAACGCUGGCGGCAGGCCUAACACAUGCAAGUCGAACGAGUGGCGGACGGGUGAGAAAUGUCUGGAAAACUGCCUGAUGGAGGGGGAUAACUACUGAAAACGGUAGCUAAUACCGCAUACCAUCGGAUGUGCCCAUAUGGGAUUCGAGAGUAGGGGGGGUAAAGGCUCCCCUAGGCGACGAUCCCUAGCUGGUCUGAGAGGAUGCCCAGCCACACUGGAACUGAGACACGGUCCAGACUCCUACGGGAGGCAGCAGUGGGGAAUAUUGCACAAUGGGCGCAAGCCUGAUGCAGCCAUGCCGCGUGUGUGAAGAAGGCCUUCGGGUUGUAAAGCACUUUCAGCGGGGAGGCGUUACCCGCAGAAGAAGCACCGGCUAACUCCGUGCCAGCAGCCGCGGUAAUUC